UACAGAGGUGGCAAGCGUUGUCCGGAUUUAUUGGGCGUAAAGGGAACGCGGGCGGUCUUUUAAGUCUGAUGUGAAAGCCUUCGGCUUAACUGAAGUCAUGCAUUGGAAACUGGAGGACUUGAGUGCAGAAGAGGAGAGUGGAACUCCAUGUGUAGCGGUGAAAUGCGUAGAUAUAUGGAAGAACACCAGUGGCGAAAGCGGCUCUCUGGUCUGUAACUGACGCUGAGGUUCGAAAGCGUGGGUAGCAAAC
RNAcentral lists this ribosomal RNA (250 nucleotides) under uncultured bacterium. RNAcentral describes it as "partial 16S ribosomal RNA". It matches the Rfam family "Bacterial small subunit ribosomal RNA", at positions 524 to 773 of the family's 1533-position model. The record is from RNAcentral.